UUGGGUAGGGGAGCGUUCUGUAAGCCUGUGAAGGUGGCCUGUGAGGGUUGCUGGAGGUAUCAGAAGUGCGAAUGCUGACAUAAGUAACGAUAAAGCGGGUGAAAAGCCCGCUCGCCGGAAGACCAAGGGUUCCUGUCCAACGUUAAUCGGGGCAGGGUGAGUCGACCCCUAAGGCGAGGCCGAAAGGCGUAGUCGAUGGGAAACGGGUUAAUAUUCCCGUACUUGGUGUUACUGCGAAGGGGGGACGGAGAAGGCUAUGUUGGCCGGGCGACGGUUGUCCCGGUUUAAGCGUGUAGGCUGGUUUUCCAGGCAAAUCCGGAAAAUCAAGGCUGAGGCGUGACGACGAGGCACUACGGUGCUGAAGCAACAAAUGCCCUGCUUCCAGGAAAAGCCUCUAAGCAUCAGGUAACAUCAAAUCGUACCCCAAACCGACACAGGUGGUCAGGUAGAGAAUACCAAGGCGCUUGAGAGAACUCGGGUGAAGGAACUAGGCAAAAUGGUGCCGUAACUUCGGGAGAAGGCACGCUGACACGUAGGUGAAGUGAUUUACUCAUGGAGCUGAAGUCAGUCGAAGAUACCAGCUGGCUGCAACUGUUUAUUAAAAACACAGCACUGUGCAAACACGAAAGUGGACGUAUACGGUGUGACGCCUGCCCGGUGCCGGAAGGUUAAUUGAUGGGGUCAGCGCAAGCGAAGCUCCUGAUCGAAGCCCCGGUAAACGGCGGCCGUAACUAUAACGGUCCUAAGGUAGCGAAAUUCCUUGUCGGGUAAGUUCCGACCUGCACGAAUGGCGUAAUGAUGGCCAGGCUGUCUCCACCCGAGACUCAGUGAAAUUGAACUCGCUGUGAAGAUGCAGUGUACCCGCGGCAAGACGGAAAGACCCCGUGAACCUUUACUAUAGCUUGACACUGAACAUUGAGCCUUGAUGUGUAGGAUAGGUGGGAGGCUUUGAAGUGUGGACGCCAGUCUGCAUGGAGCCGACCUUGAAAUACCACCCUUUAAUGUUUGAUGUUCUAACGUGGACCCGUUACCCGGGUUGCGGACAGUGUCUGGUGGGUAGUUUGACUGGGGCGGUCUCCUCCUAAAGAGUAACGGAGGAGCACGAAGGUUGGCUAAUCCUGGUCGGACAUCAGGAGGUUAGUGCAAUGGCAUAAGCCAGCUUGACUGCGAGCGUGACGGCGCGAGCAGGUGCGAAAGCAGGUCAUAGUGAUCCGGUGGUUCUGAAUGGAAGGGCCAUCGCUCAACGGAUAAAAGGUACUCCGGGGAUAACAGGCUGAUACCGCCCAAGAGUUCAUAUCGACGGCGGUGUUUGGCACCUCGAUGUCGGCUCAUCACAUCCUGGGGCUGAAGUAGGUCCCAAGGGUAUGGCUGUUCGCCAUUUAAAGUGGUACGCGAGCUGGGUUUAGAACGUCGUGAGACAGUUCGGUCCCUAUCUGCCGUGGGCGCUGGAGAACUGAGGGGGGCUGCUCCUAGUACGAGAGGACCGGAGUGGACGCAUCACUGGUGUUCGGGUUGUCAUGCCAAUGGCACUGCCCGGUAGCUAAAUGCGGAAGAGAUAAGUGCUGAAAGCAUCUAAGCACGAAACUUGCCCCGAGAUGAGUUCUCCCUGAGACUU
Molecule: ribosomal RNA, 1615 nt
Filed under: Salmonella enterica subsp. enterica serovar Hadar
Lineage: Bacteria; Pseudomonadati; Pseudomonadota; Gammaproteobacteria; Enterobacterales; Enterobacteriaceae
Description: bacterial LSU rRNA
Rfam family: Bacterial large subunit ribosomal RNA
Source: RNAcentral